UGAGCUGGCAGAUAGUUUUGCUAAGAAUGCAGCAAAAAAGUCUAUUGUUGAUUUAAAUAUUAAAAUGAGUAAAAAUGAGGUUAAAAAUAUUAGUAAAGUGUAUAUUAAGAAUAAAUGGCAGGAACAGUGGGAUAAAGGAAGCAAUGCCAGAUUUUAUUAUAGCAUCCAAAGAAAAGUUGGAGAAUUUAGGAAAUGUAGCAGGAAUAAAAAAGAAGAAGAUAUUAUAUCUAGAUUAAGGUUUGGACAUACAGGUUUAAACAGUACUCUUAAAAUAAUUAAUAAACAUGAUACAGGUUUCUGUAGUUAUUGUGGGAAAUUAGAAACAAUACAACAUUUUUUUUAGAAUGUAGUAAGUAUGUUCGAAAAAGGAAGGAGUUAAUUAGAAAUUUAAAUAGGAAUAAAAAUAAGUGAGAUAUUAGAAGUUUGCUUCAAAGAUCAUCGGGGGAUGUAGUUUUUAAUAGUAUUUUUAAUUUUCUAAGGAGAACAGGUAUUAUGGGAAGAUUAUAGUGGUUUUACAUCUGAUCCAUACUCCAGUCUAGAAGGUUUCGGUAAUGCACCUAAAAGUUGUUUGCCAACCGCCAUUAAAAAAAAAAAAAACAAGAAGAAGAAGAAGAAGAAGUUUCUCCCUUAAGCUGCCACACCCUGCUGAGAAGCCAAACCAGGAAGAGAACAGAUGGCCAGUCCCCCUGCAUCUCAAGAAGACAUCAGAGCCAGGUCGUCUGUUUGAGUAUGGGUGAGUCUCCUCCUGCAAGUUCUGUUAUGUUUAGCUUUUUGAAUUUCUACCACCUUGUCUCCAAAAACCUGUGCCGUUCUGUCUGUUCCUGCCUGGCCUGCCCCGUGAGUCUGUCUGUUUCUGUGCCGUCUUUUGGGUUAACGGUUCCUUUUGGUUUUUGUCCCUGUUUCACUUUUUGUUAAUAAAAGAAGAUUCUACACUGAACCUCUGCUGGUCUGGUUGUGUUCUGGGUCUCCUGCUCCGAUCUUUACAGUAUAAUGCAUUUAUCAACAGAAACCUAAUCUGUUUUAUAAAACUAA
Long non-coding RNA from Fundulus heteroclitus (mummichog), 1032 nucleotides. RefSeq lists it as uncharacterized. The record is from RefSeq and is a predicted model, not a curated record. The transcript has 3 exons. Lineage: Eukaryota; Metazoa; Chordata; Actinopteri; Cyprinodontiformes; Fundulidae.